GCCGUUAUCGUCGGUUUUAUCGUCCAUACUAUGGUUGCAGACGAUAUAUGGAGUUAUCCACAUUUGACAGCGGUAGAUGAUAGAAGACAAUUUGCAUAACAUGGUCGUUGGAUAAGAUGUGGAUAAUUUGACAGAUUGUCCCAUUUUGACAGUUCAACUUAGUUAAUUUUAACUACGUGCUUCUUAGAUGACGAUAAGCCUUGUCGUGAAAGCAAAAGUAGUGAAUAAUCAUAUUUUAAGGUAUAAAUUACAGGGAAGUCAAAUUUUAUUAUUCCUACUCGCGGCUGCUGUUGAAGAAAAAUAUCGUAAACAGCUUUAAGAAACACUUGCAGCCCAUUUGAUAUGACGGACGAAGAGUUUCGGCAUAUUUACAGAGUGCGUAAGGAGUGUGCAGUGCAUUUACUUAUGUGCCGAAUUUAACGCCGAGCUUCAAAACGGUGAUGGGUUACCUACCAAAACAUCUCAAAGGUUCUAACAGUAUACACCACACCAGCAGCACACCUACACCACCAGCAGCAGCAGCAGCUGCUGGUGUGUAACAGUUACACCUGCUAGCUGAUGGCAACUACCAACGUGGGACUAGUCAAGAUCAUGGCUUGUCCAUUGGAGCACUACUGACUGGAUUGGCCACACUACUGUAAGCCUGAACCUCAAGCAGUUUGUAGAUGCUGUAAACAGAAGAAAACGUCUCGUGGAUCAAGGGAAAAAUUAGAGAAGACGCUCCUAAAAAACUUCCUAAGCAUGCAAGCAUACACAAAACCGGCUCUUAAUAAGCUUAAUAAAUACAUAUUUCGCCUAUUACUAUGUUUUACUAUCACACAAAUACCUACCUAAUUUACCUAUAUUUCUAUACAAGUAGAGACUAGUAAACAUUCAAGACGGAUAAUCUUCACACAGAACACCAUUCCCGGGCAUGCUUCAAUGUAGGUGUCAUUUAUUCUUAUUUUUCAUUUUAGCCUUAUGCGUACAAAAUUUGUGAUAUAUAGCUUCUAAACGUAAAAUCCGACUCAUAUGCAGUAUAGUACAAUGAAAGCAUAGGUAAUAAAAACAUUUUAGGCACGUUCUUACUUAAGAGGAAAGGGAGAUGGCCGCUUCCGCUUCUCCAUACAAACGUAGUCCUCAUUUUCCUCUCUGGAUAUUGACAUUAUGGAAAAUAUUUUUACAUAAUUUAAUGUAUAUUAACCA
Long non-coding RNA from Cydia splendana, 1185 nucleotides. RefSeq lists it as uncharacterized. Lineage: Eukaryota; Metazoa; Arthropoda; Insecta; Lepidoptera; Tortricidae. The record is from RefSeq and is a predicted model, not a curated record. The transcript has 4 exons.